GAGCCAUUGAGCCUUAUAGAGAGACUGGAGCUGAGAAGAGCAGCUUGCUGAAAGCGUUCUCCUUUUUCGACUCACAACUCCACCUUCGUCGCCGGUACCUCCACAAAUUCCGGUAUGCUUAUUGCGGCUCAAAUCGAAAAGUGGGAGAGAGACAAUUGAAGAGAGACAACCUGCCCAGUCGGAUCACAACCUUCUUUUCACCUCUGGCCAUUGCUAGUCUGCGAAGAAGCUACUGAUAGAAUUGAAGCAAUUUCUCGAAAAUUUCUGGUAGAAGAAAUGAUAAGAACAGGUGGCGUUGCGUUGCGAUCCAUUAUCAGUUACUUGUCUGUCCGAAGACUCACUCCCCAUUUCGUUAAACCUCUCUCUACAAAUGCUACUUCAGGUGAUAGAAUUGAUGAUAAAGAAAGUCCUAAUUCUUUUGAGUCACGUGAUGAGUUUGAGCACCGGAUAUUUGGUGGCAUUUCUGGGAGCAGCUCAGCUACUGACUCCUUUUUCCAAAAGCUUGACAGACUUGCGAACACUCGCAACAGGACUGGUUCCAUACGGAAUGAAGGAGAUAGUUGGGAAGGUGAUGGUUUGGAGGGCAUAGAUGAGAGUUCUGACUCGUUAUCCGAUAGAAUGGAUGAGAAGCUGAGGAAAUGGGCAGAAUAUUUUGGAUUUGAUCCUGAGGAAACAGAACAAGAUGGCUAUGAGUAUAGACCAGAUGUUAAUUUUCAAAUUGAUUCAACUUAUGACAUCAAGGUAUGCAGUAUAGUGGCCACUGGAUCUGUAAUUAGAGAAUUGCAGUUUGGUUAUAUUGGUUCCUAGAAGUAUUUUGAAAGCUCUGGCCUUUUUAUCUGCAUGUCACUUUACGUUUGCAAUGUUUCUGAACAUAUAUUAUGCAGAAAUUAAUUUGAUUUCUGUAGCUUUAAUAUGAGAAAGAAUGAAAACUUGAAGAGCUCUAUUAGAGCUUAAAGUAGAGCUCCAUUAGGUGCAGAAACUAUGUGAUGAAAAUUUGGAAUUUGGAAGUUGUGUUUUGAUGAAGUUUUUGGAAUUUAUUAAAAUAAUAUAUGGCACCCACUGUCCAUUUAGUUUAUUUUCUAUCUAUAAACUAUUUGAAAAAUAUUGGAGACCUAAUGGAAUUGGGAGGAUCUUUUAUGAAAAGAAUUAAAAGAAAAGAAGAAAAAAAGGCCUUAAACCAUUUGAAGCACAGAUUUGAACUGAAUGUUAAAUCUUCCCUUCUGCCUUCUGCUGCCACUAUGUUUUAUGACUUAUGACGCAUACUUCUAAUUAUGCUAGUCACUCAAAUUUUCAUUUCAUGUUCUUUUUGACAAAAUUCCUUGGAUAAUGGAAGUAAUGGAUUUGUUGGUGAAUCUUUUUGUGGUUGUACAACUGCCAUCAAUUCUGUAAGUCGUUCCCUCCCCUCCCUCCGACCACCACCACACACACACACACUUGUGCUCAUUUUGCCGAUGGAAUAAUUAUGUUAAAAUCAUUGGCAGGUUGGAUUUCAUUAUUGCCUACUAUUUGCAUGACUGAUUUUUGGGAUAAAGGCGUAGUUGAGUUGAGUUGAGUUUAUUUGUAUGAUUGAUUUCAUGUGCAAAUCUAUGUGAAUUUUUAUUAAAUUAAAUCCAAUUUUAUCCGCUGAUGUUAUAGUUUGAUGUUAAAAAGCAAAUUGUUCAUUGCAAUUCUAGAGUUGGUCUGAAAUCAAGUACUCUUAGCAAUUUAACAAUGUGAAGUUCUAUGACUCAAUUUUUUUUUUUUGGGAAAAAAUAAAAAAGCUUUUUCUGUCAUCUCAUUCUGUCUGCAUAGAACUUUGACAAUUUUCAGCUUGUCCUCUUUCCUUUGGUACGCAUCCUUUGCUGCUGGAGGUGUCAUUUUGUUGAUUUGUACUUACUUUUCAUUCCAUUUUAAUGCUCAUACUUAUCUCGCCUAAGCAUUGUAUGGCUUUGUGCAGGAUCUUGAUCUUAGAAAGCCAGGAGUACGUAAACCUGUCAAAAGGCCAGAGUUUAAAGUAACAACAGAGGAAGUUCUGAGAAAAGCUGACUUCAGGGUGAGCUUAUCGUUUAUCUUUUUUUCUUUUUUAUUUCCAUUCUUAUGAAACCAUGAAUGUACAAAUAGGAUAACUUGAUGAUGAGUUGGUCGAAUCACCUGAAAUUCCAUGGUGCAUUGUUACUGCCAAUAUAUAUCAGUACCUGGAUUAGUGGUUUUUUUCCCACUGAUUAUGAUUAGUUGUUGGCACAUCGGUUGUGGUUGGGGAGUUGGUGUCAUUGCCUUGGGUCUCUGAAGAUGAUGUGUCUAUCUCAUUUGUAUCUUUCCUAUAUUAAUAUCAAUUUGGUCAGGUCAUGAUAUCCUGGUAGAACUACUAUUUUUGACAUAAUGAGUUAAUUGUGGAAUCUUUUGUAACAAAACAGUUUUUAGGUUCUACAUUUUCCUUUGUGAAUUCUGUCAUCAACUUUUGGUUAGAUGUUGGUUUGAUCCCAGCAGUGAUUACAAUUAUGCUUUUACUCGCUCAUUGAAGGAUAACUGCGUAUUUGUAUUUUUUAUUUAUCAUAUUUCUGAAAAAUGGCUUCUGAAAUAAAUUUAACCUAUGGCCAUUCCUUAAUAAUUCUUGAAAUUUAGGUGCAUGUUUAAGUUUGUGGAAUUUUCUGUGCAGAAUGUUGAAUUCCUUGCAAACUUCAUAACAGAGGCUGGAAUUAUUAUUAAGAGGAGCCAGGUAAUAUGAAUUAUGGACUGCAAAAUUCAAACAGUGUAGUUCAUUGAGUCAGUGAUAAAAGAUGUGACACAAUUCUUGUUGUUCAUUUUUUAGACUGGCAUAAGUGCCAAGGCGCAGAGGAAGGUUGCAAGGGAGAUCAAAACAGCUCGAGCUUUUGGUCUAAUGCCUUUCACCACAAUGGGUACAAAAUCAUUUGUUUUUGGGAAAACUAUGGAGCAUCUUGACAGGGACUUUGCAUAUGCGAGUGUCAAUGACCAGGUAGAGGAUGAUGCAAAUGUCGACCCUCAAGAAAAUUAGGAUGCGAUGUGAAAUUAACGUUAAGCUCUUCGACCCAAUUGUUCUCUUGGUUCGCCCGUUUGUUGGUGGGUGGCCCUGAUAAAUGUUCUUAAAAUUUAUAAAUUAAAUAAUUUUUUAUUAAAAUUUAUGCUUUAAAUUUAGAAAUUUAUGAAAUUUUGUGGUCAAAAUUUUGAAUUUUCAUGAUUUUGAUUUUCUAAAAUUAAAAUAAGAGAUAAAAAAUAAAAGAAGAGUGAAAGUUUAAAAUUUAAAAUAAAUUGAAAAUUGAAAAAAAUAGAAAAAUGAAAAAUGGAGAAAUGGAAAAAAAAGAAAGGGGGUAAACAGGAAUUUUAGUAAAAGAUUGGAGAAAAAGGAAGAAAAUUGGAAAAUGAAAAAGGUAAAUUGUUGUUAGGUCCUUGUAGUUUGGUAAAAUUAAUUAUUUUAGUCUUUAUUUUAAAAAAAAAAAAAUUAAAAUAUCACUGUAUUUUAUAAAAUUAAAAUCCUUAUCCUUGUGUUAAAAAAAUGUUAGUCAAUUUGAAUUUUAGCCUAAAUAUUCAUAUUGUUUACUUUUAUAAUUUUUAAUAAACAUAUUGUCAACGGUGGACCAGGGAUC
Molecule: unclassified non-coding RNA, 3581 nt
Filed under: Hevea brasiliensis (rubber tree)
Lineage: Eukaryota; Viridiplantae; Streptophyta; Magnoliopsida; Malpighiales; Euphorbiaceae
Source: RNAcentral